GCGUUCAUACCAGCACUAAUACACCGGAUCCCAUCAAAACUCUGAAGUUAAGCGUGAUUGUCCGAGAGUAGUACUAGGAUGACCGUAUCACGCCUGGGGGGCUCCCCCACCGGAUCCCAUCAGAACUCGUGUUGCACCCCUUUUUGCGAAGUUAAGCAUGCUUGGGCGAGAAUAAUACUGGGAUGGGUGGCCCCCUGGGAAGUCCUCGUGUUGCACCCC
RNAcentral lists this ribosomal RNA (219 nucleotides) under Salvia splendens (bonfire salvia). Lineage: Eukaryota; Viridiplantae; Streptophyta; Magnoliopsida; Lamiales; Lamiaceae. The record is from RNAcentral.